UGGUCUUCUAUAUUUUCAUGCACACAUUCCCUUUCCAUGUCUAAUUGGCUGAUAUGACUUCAGCUAUUUCCUCUCUGCAUACAAUUUCCUAAGUGAGAUAUUUAGCUUUGGUUUAUUUUUAUGAACAGGACUACAGUCUUUGGGAACGACUAUAUUUUUAACUUUAAAUCAUAUGCUCAAAACCGCUUUCAGUUUAUUAUUUCUUGGAUUCUAAUAAUGCACUCUCUCUCGUACCUGGAAUAAGAAUUUCUAAUCGCUCACAUUGGCUGUUUCAGCUCUUCAGAUUUACACAGUUUGUUUUCUCAUUCAUUUAUUUGAAUUUGUACUAUGUUUUUCAAUUAUUUUAUCUUUCUCUUAUCAAUCAAAUGAUUCCAGCUGUGGUCUCACUGUUAUUUCCCAUGCUACAAAGAAGAAAGAGGGAUUUUAGUCAUCUAAGAGUCCAACAAGGGUGCACACACUCACUGACACCAGCUAUGUAAAAUGAGAAUGAGUCACAUUAUCCUGACCAUCAAAGUAUCAGGUGAGUAGGAUAAGGGAACAAAGCAUUUCCAUGUUGUUACUAUACAAUUACAGAUUAUAAUGCUAUGACAGUAUAUGCCCAUCACUUCUGUGUGAUAGUUAUUUUUGUGUUAACAUGACUAGGCAAUUAAAUGCAUAGGCAUUUUCAAACAUUAUUUUCUUGUGUAUCAGUGAGGAUGCUUCUGGAUACGACUAACAUUUGGAUCUGUGGACUGAAUACAACAAACUGUCCUCCCUGAUGUAGUGUGACUCACUGGAUCCACGGAAGGCAUAAAUCAAACAAAAGGCUGAGUAAAAAAAGAAUUGUUUCUUCCUGCCUGAUUGUCUUCAAACUGGGAUAUCCAUCUUCUCCUACAUUUGGACUCGAAGUAAAACAUUAACUCAUCCUGAACGUCCAGCCGUCUGGCCUUCAGACUGGAAAUACACCACUGGCUCUCCUGGAUCUCUAGCUUGUUAAUUGCAUAUUUUAUUACUUGUUGGCCUCCAGAAUCAUGUGUCAUUCAAUAAAUAAUAAUAUAUAAUAAAUUUAUCUGUCCAUUGAUAAAGACACAAUUAUGGAUUUAGAUAUAAAAUCUCUUCAUUUCUCUCUCUUUCUCUCUCUGAUUUGUCUGUUUCUUUGGAGAACCUGGACUAAUAUACAUUGUUGACACAUUGUAUAAAGCCACACAAAAUCUAAAACAAUGAAGAAGUGAAAUGUAAGACAUUAUUCAUAAUCACUGCCAUUAAAAGGCAAGGAGUGCUACCUGCAUUUGAUGGAUGCCAAUUCAUGAUUCAAUCUUUGCAGCCCGGAGAAAUGGUCACCGUUGGGUUAUCUGAAAACACAAUAAUAUGUGAUUAAAUUUUCAUGUACAUCAAAGAAUAGACAUUAUUGCUUCACAAA
Molecule: long non-coding RNA, 1399 nt
Filed under: Callithrix jacchus (white-tufted-ear marmoset)
Lineage: Eukaryota; Metazoa; Chordata; Mammalia; Primates; Cebidae
Description: lncRNA (ENSCJAG00000083795.1)
Source: RNAcentral